CAAGUCGAGCGAACAGACAAGGAGCUUGCUCCUUUGACGUUAGCGGCGGACGGGUGAGUAACACGUGGGUAACCUACCUAUAAGACUGGGAUAACUUCGGGAAACCGGAGCUAAUACCGGAUAAUAUUUCGAACCGCAUGGUUCGAUAGUGAAAGAUGGUUUUGCUAUCACUUAUAGAUGGACCCGCGCCGUAUUAGCUAGUUGGUAAGGUAACGGCUUACCAAGGCGACGAUACGUAGCCGACCUGAGAGGGUGAUCGGCCACACUGGAACUGAGACACGGUCCAGACUCCUACGGGAGGCAGCAGUAGGGAAUCUUCCGCAAUGGGCGAAAGCCUGACGGAGCAACGCCGCGUGAGUGAUGAAGGUCUUCGGAUCGUAAAACUCUGUUAUUAGGGAAGAACAUACGUGUAAGUAACUAUGCACGUCUUGACGGUACCUAAUCAGAAAGCCACGGCUAACUACGUGCCAGCAGCCGCGGUAAUACGUAGGUGGCAAGCGUUAUCCGGAAUUAUUGGGCGUAAAGCGCGCGUAGGCGGUUUUUUAAGUCUGAUGUGAAAGCCCACGGCUCAACCGUGGAGGGUCAUUGGAAACUGGAAAACUUGAGUGCAGAAGAGGAAAGUGGAAUUCCAUGUGUAGCGGUGAAAUGCGCAGAGAUAUGGAGGAACACCAGUGGCGAAGGCGACUUUCUGGUCUGUAACUGACGCUGAUGUGCGAAAGCGUGGGGAUCAAACAGGAUUAGAUACCCUGGUAGUCCACGCCGUAACGAUGAGUGCUAAGUGUUUAAGGGGGUUUCCGCCCCUUAGUGCUGCAGCUAACGCAUUAAGCACUCCGCCUGGGG
RNAcentral lists this ribosomal RNA (840 nucleotides) under Staphylococcus haemolyticus. RNAcentral's name for it is "bacterial SSU rRNA". It matches the Rfam family "Bacterial small subunit ribosomal RNA", at positions 58 to 878 of the family's 1533-position model. Lineage: Bacteria; Bacillati; Bacillota; Bacilli; Caryophanales; Staphylococcaceae. The record is from RNAcentral.